This 456-nucleotide ribosomal RNA is filed under the name uncultured bacterium. Its description in RNAcentral is "bacterial SSU rRNA". It matches the Rfam family "Bacterial small subunit ribosomal RNA", at positions 26 to 507 of the family's 1533-position model. The record is from RNAcentral.
AGGGUGAACGCUGGCGGCGUGCCUAAACAUGCAAGUCGAGCGGUGCAGUUUGAAGCUUCGGUGGAAAGCUGCAUAGCGGCGGACGGGUGAGGAAAACGUAGGAACGUGCCCCUUGGAGUUGGAUAGCCACGGGAAACUGUGGGUAAACCGACAUAGACUCGAGAGAGUAAAGGCCGAAAGGCGCCAAGGGAGCGGCCUGCGGCCCAUCAGGUAGUUGGUAGUGUAAAGGACUACCAAGCCGACGACGGGUAGCCGGUCUGAGAGGAUGGCCGGCCACAAGGGCACUGAGAGACGGGCCCUACUCCUACGGGAGGCAGCAGUGGGGGAUUUUGGACAAUGGGCGAAAGCCUGAUCCAGCGACGCCGCGUGGAGGACGAAGCCCUUCGGGGUGUAAACUCCCUUUCUCAGGGAAAAAGGAUGAUGGUACCUGAGGAAUAAGCCCCGGCUAACUACGUG